CAUAUCGUCAUAAAAGCGAUGCAUCCAAACCUCAGUCUCGUAACCACUCAUGAAUGUUCGUACGCAUACUACGUUUGCUUGGUGCGGUCUGGACGAGAGGAAAUCUGGGACGAUGAACGGGCUAGCAAGGAAAGACACAGACAAUACUGAUUACCGGCCAGCGCAAAACGAAAAGAAAUUGUCGCCACAGAACGAUAACGAAGGUGGCGGACCUUCAUUGGCAGCGGAAGUUUGUGCUGUAUCAAAAAAAUUGCAGAUGAUCUGGCGACCUUUGUCAAGAAAACAGCGCCGUCUAGUGUAUAUGUGAUUAAGUCUUCUAAAUACAACACAGUAUCGAAUAUGAAGAUCGUGGCCUUUAGCGACGUACAGCCGUCAAUCCAUCCCUGCGCUCUGUCUUGCCCGACAACGAACAUUGAGAAUGUCACCCGUUGGAAGCUCAUGUAUUUAAGCUUUGCCUGGGUCUGAAUCGACCGCAGCAUUAUCGAGCGAUUGCGGUUAAAUGAACAUGACGGCGUCUCAGGGGGGCACCGGGUUAACGUCCCCGGGACUUCGGCGCAAAAACCUUCGCUCUUUUUUCAAGGCCAGGCCGAAAAAAAAAGUCGUUGCCAGCACAGUUACAACAUUAGUUUGUGACCCGCGGUCCGUUCAUUUUCAUUCUCUUUCAUUUACCCUACCGCAGCCUGGAUUUGUUGAUGUCGAAGGCACACUCUUGUCUCCUCGGUGCCUCUAACCCCACUUCUUCCAUUGAUGGGAAUUGGGUUCACCCCAUCAGUUAGAAGGUAUGGACAUUAUUGAGUAGUGUAUGGGUAGUGCACUGUUCAUUCGAUGUGUCAGACAUCCGUGCGUCCCUCGACUGGGCGUUUCGACAACUCCGAACAUCGACUAGACACCAUAGACAACGUGAGGCGUUUCUGCGAGAACUGGCAGAGCUGGUAUCCGGUCGUGCAACCACGAAAGACGCAUUCAUCUGCUUAGGUUUCUGAACAGUGUACGAGGUAAGGCCGUUUAUCGAUAAACGUUCGUUCGAUAGCGGGGUGAAUGCAGUGUGAGCACUGCGGAUUACUGGAGCUUCGGUGUCUGAGUCCUGAUCAACGUCAGCAUUCAACAAGAUCUUCCACACAGAGAUAACCACAGAGUGCAGAGCGAAGAAGUGUGUAUACGUCUGCGUGUGUGCGCGCGCGUGUUUAAAAAGCGAACCGACAGCCUCAGAAAUGGUACCGUUAAAGAUUCGUCGAAGCUAUGUGAUGGGGUCCACGACGGAUGGACUGCAUACGAAUGCGGCGACUCGGGGAAAGCAGGAAUCGUUCUUCUCAUAACGAAAAAACAACGGUCUAGGACUAGAGAACGAAAAUCAAACCGAUAUCAGAACGCCAAUAUUCAUCAUCGAUACGUUUGUUCGAGGUUGUCGGACGUAGGUUGUGUGUGCUCUAACCGGUAGAACGAACCCGUUUUGCCACCAUUCUUCCUCGAUCUAGACCGGCGGCAUCGCGCUCGUGUUCCCCUCCUAGCCGGAUGCUUUGUUGUUCGCUAGUAUGACUAGGCAGGCACCCAAGCAACGGAAGAAAAAUGGACAUCAACGGAGACAAUGCCAGAGGGCUAAAACGUACGACGUCUAGUAGAAUGGGUGAAAGCAAGGUGCAGUGAGUGGGCCCCUUCGUGACCCGGUGGAAUCCGCCUUUAUCUAUUUUUGCCUGUCAAUGAAUAGUAAGCCUGCACAGAUCUCGCAUCGAUGGACUGUAUUGUACACUUUGACUGUUUUUCGUUGACGGAUGAGCCAGAAGCAAGUAUCAGUGUCGGAAUAAAACACGAGAAAAGCCGUCGCAACGGUACCCUUGUAUUGCUUACGUUGCAUAGGAGUAUCGCAUAUUGGUGGACCGGAGACACUUUUAAACAAAUGUCGAGAUUAUUGCACGCUUGAGACUUCAAUCCGAGAGCAGUUAAGCAGUUUCAGAUUGAAUGGCCUAUCUAUAUAACAUGAUUCUGGUCCAUCCGAGUCUGUUAAGUCUGCUAACCAUCUCUUGCGGUCGAGCGAAACAAUAAGCUUCAACCCGCGUUUACCAAAGACCACAACGAGUUCUUGGGGCACGUUAUGUAAAACGUACGAGGUCAGUGAUACAGUCACUUUCUUACUAAUCAGCCAGUUAUGAUGCUUCCUAUUUUAAACGAUUGGGUUGGGAUAAAACGUUAACCCUUAAUCACAUCAUUUUAUAUUUUUGUUAUUUAGUAUGAGAUUUUUGGAAGCACGCUUGGUCGUUCUAAAUUUCUCCAAGAAUUAGCGCGAUUACGAAAACCAACAACUCAGAAAAUUUACCGAUAGUGAUUCCUCUAAUCAAGUGCAUAGCUGGCUACACCUAUAAAAUCUGACACUCUGAAAAGACGAGUCAUUAUUGUCUAGUCUACCCGUUAAUCUUAAUUUCUGAAUACCUGAAAAAGCUUAGGUAUCUGUGAUUCCUAUGUAAUAUCCCACCCAGAUCCAGCUUUCACAAGGUCUUUAGCUCUCCGAUUUUAGUAACGCAAUGCUAGGAGCUUCCAACGUCAGAAUCUCCGACAAUAUUGUAUCUGCAUAACUCAUGGAGGGUUUCUGAUUUUUAAAUGUUUCUACCCAUUUAUUCCUUAUUUUAUACCCAUUUUUUAUUAUUAUUAUUUAUUAUUACCCUGCGAGAUAUUCGUUUUUCAUCUCAGCGUCAAGGGUUAAGUUUUCGUGACUGCUUCAUUACCCGUUACAGCAUGCGUUCUGUUGCUAGUUUUCACUGCCUUUUGAAUGCCUUUUAUCUCUUUGUCCACGUUUGUGCUAGAAACUUUGCAGCUCAAAAGGCUUAGGCAGAAAGUCUGCUCUGCUCAACUGAAGCUUUGUCGGGCAGAAAUAAACAAAGAAAAUGGACCGUCUGCUUCCCUUACAAAAAAAAGGAUCAGAAUGAGGAAAAGACAGCAAGUCACCAAGUCUCCACAUAUGAACAGAUACAAUGCCGCAAAAAAGUACGGGAAAUAGAAACCGAUGGGAAGAGGUUCGAUACAAGCAAAACAUUUUCAUAGUGCUGGCUUGCCUGCCUACAGGCUCUUUUCUUGCUUUGUGUAAUUCGUGCAGUAGGCCUCCCAAUACUAACUAGACCACCUACUAGACCUACGCAACCUACUUAUGCUAUCUCAGUGGUUUCUUUUACUCUUCUAUUUAAAAAAAAACUUGCAUUGCAAAUUAGAUUCCGUCAUGGGUCGAGGGUCUGUGUUUUCCUGUUUAGUGUAUUUAAGCCACUCACGCACCAUCCAUAGGGGGUACUUUGUGCUACUGACUUUGCCUCGGCCUUCGACUUCCUAAAGGAGUACGUUAAAGUCUAUAUAGACGGAAGGUAAUCUACACGCGCUACUAUAGGCUUUCCGAACAUACUGUUUCGGUUUUUCGCUUGUACAUGGUAAAGAUGUGAAGAACAAGCCGACGGCGAUGGAUUGCUACCCCUCAAGCCGUGCGAAUCGAUGCAGCCAACGAAAUGUCAGACGACAGAAAGCAGACUAGCAGCUUCACCGGCGACGUCCACGGAUCAGCAAGGUACAUAGCUAAAAAGGAUACAUCGCUGCGGCUGUGGGUGUUUUACAUGGGGGGAAUACACAAUGGGGGA
RNAcentral lists this long non-coding RNA (3611 nucleotides) under Varroa destructor (honeybee mite). RNAcentral describes it as "uncharacterized LOC111250265, transcript variant X1". Lineage: Eukaryota; Metazoa; Arthropoda; Arachnida; Mesostigmata; Varroidae. The record is from RNAcentral.